AUUGAACGCUGGCGGCAGGCCUAACACAUGCAAGUCGAACGAGUGGCGGACGGGUGAGUAAUGUCUGGGAAACUGCCUGAUGGAGGGGGAUAACUACUGGAAACGGUAGCUAAUACCGCAUACCAUCAGAUGUGCCACGAUGGGAUUAGCUUGUUGUUGGGGGAAAGGCUGACCAAGGCGACGAUCCCUAGCUGGUCGGAGAGGAUGACCAGCCACACUGUAACUGAGACACGGUCCAGACUCCUACGGGAGGCAGCAGUGGGGAAGAUUGCACAAUGGGCGCAAGCCUGAGGCAGCCAUGCCGCGUGUAUGAAGAAGGCCUUCGGGUUGUAAAGUACGUUCAGCGGGGAGGCGUUACCCGCAGAAGAAGCACCGGCUAACUCCGUGCCAGCAGCCGCGGUAAUAC
This 406-nucleotide ribosomal RNA is filed under the name uncultured bacterium. RNAcentral's name for it is "partial 16S ribosomal RNA". It matches the Rfam family "Bacterial small subunit ribosomal RNA", at positions 30 to 526 of the family's 1533-position model. The record is from RNAcentral.